UUGAUUCAUUUGUUUUGCUUGUACGCCGAGAUGCCGCUGACAGCAGAGUACUGGGGGGUCCCUCCGGCGGGCGCCUGGGUCCGGGCCGCUGGGGCGCCGGGGCGGUCCCGCCGAGGCAACGUGUGUGGUACGGUUCGCAGGGGGUUUGGGAGUUGUAAACUCGGUAAUGAUCCCUCCGCUGGUUCACCAACGGAGA
This 196-nucleotide unclassified non-coding RNA is filed under the name uncultured fungus. RNAcentral's name for it is "sequence contains ITS1". Lineage: Eukaryota; Fungi. The record is from RNAcentral.